GAUAACCCGCGAAGGCGAUCCGGCAAUAUCUCCACCUUCCGGUCGAUUCACGGCGACGAGCAGGCGGAAUUCUCUUUACCUCAACGGCGCAAAGCUGAAAAUGGACUCGGAUUGCUCAACCAAACCUCCAAGAUAGCAAAACGAGGUCCGAAAGCUACGGAGGUUUCGAUGAAUUUUCCGGCGACUCCAGUCACCGACGAAAGCAACUGGGGUGUACACGGCCACCGCCGGAGUUACUGUGCUCAACUGUUGUUUUGGGAUGUCUUGGUUCGAUUUCGAUACUGAUUUUAGUUCUACAACGAGAAUAUAGACUUGGUUGUGUUGAAUUUCAGAACUUGUGAAGUGGAACGCCAUCGGGGAAAAUGUAACUCUAUUUGCUGAAAUUGGGAAACAGAGAUUGGAAAGCUCAGAACUUGGUGCUUGAGAUCAGUUUCAAUACAACAGCAAAAUUUGAUAAGGAUUUGUCCUCGUGAUUCUUAAAAGGAGAGGUAGUGUUCUGGAAUUUCAUUUGGAUUUGCGCAAGUAGUAGGAUUGUAUGGGACUGUGACCAUGGAAUUAUGUCCUAGGAUUAUAAUUGAUAAUCAUUCAGAGUGGCAUGUUACCUUGAACUUUGACUUAAAA
Molecule: long non-coding RNA, 621 nt
Organism: Rosa rugosa (rugosa rose)
Lineage: Eukaryota; Viridiplantae; Streptophyta; Magnoliopsida; Rosales; Rosaceae
Exons: 3
Source: RefSeq, a predicted model, not a curated record